RNAcentral lists this ribosomal RNA (490 nucleotides) under uncultured bacterium. Its description in RNAcentral is "partial 16S ribosomal RNA". It matches the Rfam family "Bacterial small subunit ribosomal RNA", at positions 30 to 507 of the family's 1533-position model. The record is from RNAcentral.
AUUGAACGCUGGCGGCAGGCCUAACACAUGCAAGUCGAACGGUAACAGGAAGAGGCUUGCUUCUUUGCUGACGAGUGGCGGACGGGUGAGUAAUGUCUGGGAAACUGCCUGAUGGAGGGGGGUAACUACUGGAAAAGGUAGCUCAUACCGCAUAACGUCGCAAGACCAAAGAGGGGGACCUUUGGGCCUCUUGCCAUCGGAUGUGCCCAGAUGGGAUUAGCUAGUAGGUGGGGUAACGGCUCACCUCGGCGACGAUCCCUAGCUGGUCUGAGAGGAUGACCAGCCACACUGGAACUGAGACACGGUCCAGACUCCUACGGGAGGCAGCAGUGGGGAAUAUUGGACAAUGGGCGCAAGCCUGAUGCAGCCAUGCCGCGUGUAUGAAGAAGGCCUUCGGGUUGUAAAGUACUUUCGGCGGGGAGGAAGGGAGUAAAGUUAAUACCUUUGCUCAUUGACGUUACCCGCAGAAGAAGCACCGGCUAACUCCGUG